UCUGAUCUCAGAUCAAGCAAGAAGACCCGCCGAAUUUAAGCAUAUAAUUAAGCGGAGGAAAAGAAACUAACCAGGAUUCCCCUAGUAAGGGCGACUGAAGCGGGAAUAGCUCACGAUGUGAAUCAGCGCUGCUUUGUGGCGCCGAAUUGUGGUCUGAAAACGUUUGCAUUAC
This 172-nucleotide ribosomal RNA is filed under the name Sellaphora capitata. RNAcentral describes it as "partial 26S ribosomal RNA". It matches the Rfam family "Eukaryotic large subunit ribosomal RNA", at positions 1 to 168 of the family's 3401-position model. Lineage: Eukaryota; Bacillariophyta; Bacillariophyceae; Sellaphorales; Sellaphoraceae. The record is from RNAcentral.